RNAcentral lists this ribosomal RNA (535 nucleotides) under uncultured bacterium. RNAcentral's name for it is "bacterial SSU rRNA". It matches the Rfam family "Bacterial small subunit ribosomal RNA", at positions 59 to 592 of the family's 1533-position model. The record is from RNAcentral.
CAGUCGAGCGAAGCGGUUUAAGUGAAGUUUUCGGAUGGAACUUGGAUUGACUCGAUUCGGCGGACGGGUGAGUAACGCGUGGAUAACCUGCCUCACACAGGGGGAUAACAGUUAGAAAUGACUGCUAAUACCGCAUAAGCGCACGGCAUCGCAUGAUGCAGUGUGAAAAACUCCGGUGGUGUGAGAUGGAUCCGCGUCUGAUUAGGUAGUUGGUGGGGUAACGGCCCACCAAGCCGACGAUCAGUAGCCGACCUGAGAGGGUGACCGGCCACAUUGGGACUGAGACACGGCCCAAACUCCUACGGGAGGCAGCAGUGGGGAAUAUUGCACAAUGGGCGAAAGCCUGAUGCAGCGACGCCGCGUGAGUGAAGAAGUAUCUCGGUAUGUAAAGCUCUAUCAGCAGGGAAGAAAAUGACGGUACCUGACUAAGAAGCCCCGGCUAACUACGUGCCAGCAGCCGCGGUAAUACGUAGGGGGCAAGCGUUAUCCGGAUUUACUGGGUGUAAAGGGAGCGCAGACGGCGAUGCAAGUCUGG